AUCAGUUACCAACGCAUCUUCAAAGUGUAAGGAUCCCGCAGUGAGAAGCGAAGUCUUAAAGUUUGGAAUAGCAAUUAUACGACAAACCUUGUUCGGUUUUGCCAAUUUCCAAGCCAGCACUGGGUAAAGUUUGUCCUAUAAUCCCGAAACGACGACCAGCUAAUUGUGAGCCACCUAAGGUCCCGAUCCUGGGAUGCAUCUUGUGCAGUUAUGUUUCAAUCUCACAUCACUGGGCAAAGUGUGUCUCAAGAUCCUGGCCACAUCGUCGCAACUUCAAAUCAAUUAAAUCAAAAAAUCAAGAGUAAGUGAUAUUGGGCACUCCAGUUUUAAAAUUGAAUGGCGAAUGUCGGUAUGGUCUCUUUUUCAAAGAAAGGUUUCGAUUAAGCGAAGUGACUAGACCGAACACUCGUGCUAUAAUUUUAAAAUAUUCAACAUGCUCAGUAAAGUUGCGAGUGAAAAUUAAAAUAUUAUGGAGCGGUUGCAAUUAGUUUCUUUGGUCGUCCAGCCUUAGGUGAUUUUUCCGGUCAUAAAGCUAGACAACCAUUGAAGUUCGUUGUGGCAUUAGCAGCACCACGAGUCAAGAAAUUAUGUUAAGUGAUCCCCAAAUUCAUCGGGCCAUUCGCUAAAAGGAACGAUCGUUGUGAUAUGAGUUGUUUCCUAACAUAUCACAGUGAUUUUCCUUUAUAACGCAUGUUUAAAGUCCACAACUCAUCAAGGAAAAUGAAAGUCAAAGUUGGCAGCUUACUUAAACUUAAUCACAGCCUUUAAUGUAGAGGGAAUAGUUGCUGUGCUGUAAGUUAAUAUACCAUAUCUAUAUCACAGUGGCUGUUCUUUUUGUACCUAAAGUGCCUAACAUCAUUAUUUAAUUUUUUUUUUUUUUGGCACACGAAUAACCAUGCCGUUUUUAACCCAAGGGAACUUCUGCUGCUGAUAUAUUAUUGAAAAACUACUAUAUCACAGUGGCUGUUCUUUUUGGUUGCACGGCCAAUUCCAACGAUUUGUCAUUUGUGGCACGCAUUUGUGUCACCUCAGUGCGAAAAUUGAAAAUUGUACAAAAAGAAGGGAACGGUUGCUGAUGAUGUAGUUUGAAACUCUCACAAUUUAUAUCACAGUGGCUGUUCUUUUUUGUUUGGCAAUCGAUCUACGUUCAGUGGUUUGCCAGGACAUGAAACAGAAAUAUUUUCCGUCAACAGACUUCUGAUUGCACAAAUUCCUCAAGCUUUGAACAUUUGGGAAAAACUGAUGAGACGUUGGUUUUCUAGCUUGUGCAUCAAUUCGUCAUUUGUCUGCAGUUUUGUCAAUCUUUAAUUGCACUUUACAAUUCAUUGCUUUUUGUUCAAUCAUUUUUGGGUGGUGGUGCAACUAGAAGAUAUUUUAUUUCUAGUGAAUAAAUAAAAACUGUAUCUAGGUGUGUUGAAUUUAUAAGUUUAAUUCUAAGAUUUGAUUUUAUCUUCAUUUGCAAAGUCAAAUUCUAGUGGAGUUGAUUUCUACAUCUAUUUUCUUCACUCUACUCUAAGCCAAGUGCGUAUUUGUCAGUAUAAACUUCAAUUUAAAGAACCGUCUUAAGUUUGCACAUGCAUUUUCAAUAGAUGCUGAGAUGUGUCAUGGUAAUGUGGGAGUACCACGUGCAAAACUUUCUAUCCGGUAACAGCCUGCUGCUCAACCCUUUCCAGGUGAAAGAGCACCUGACUCGCAUUUGGAAUUUAACGCGUGUGCGGAAUGGCCAAAAGUUGGCCAAAACCAACUCUUGGCCCGAGGCGUGGCCAGUUUGCUGCUGGCCAAAUGCAAAACAAGCAAACGGCGCAAUCCCAUUCUGCAUUGACAUGGCCGCCAUGCCAUAAUGUUCGUUAUGGCUGCAAAUGGCCAGCAGCCAUUGUUGCAUUGUGGCCAAGGACGUUGCUGUCUGUGCCACCGUUCCUGUUUCGACUUAUGUGGGUUGCUAAAUCCUCCAGCUCGACCGGAAGUGGGAAUACACGGAGGAGGAUAGAGGAAACCGAGUGGCGGAAAUGCGAUUAAAAUGGUCCGUAUAGUCACUGCAGGCAUCCGCUGUGAGAAAAACAAAGAAUAAUGUUCGUAGAAUUAGUGCGCUAAACAAAGAUUAAACUUGUCUAUAGUUUCCUACAGUGUUAUUGUAAAUGUAUUGCCCCAAUUGAAUUCAAAAUAAAACCCCAAUAAAAACGCGUUCAUUUCAAUUGUAAUAUAU
Molecule: non-coding RNA, 2203 nt
Organism: Drosophila melanogaster (fruit fly)
Lineage: Eukaryota; Metazoa; Arthropoda; Insecta; Diptera; Drosophilidae
Source: Ensembl